This is a small nuclear RNA of Arvicanthis niloticus (Nile rat), 102 nucleotides long. NCBI's taxonomy places the organism in Eukaryota, Metazoa, Chordata, Mammalia, Rodentia, Muridae. The record is from RefSeq and is a predicted model, not a curated record.
UUGCUUCUGCAGCAGAUAUACUAACAUUAGAAUAGUGCAGGUAAGAUUAGCAUGCCCCUGUGCAAAGAUGACAUGCAAAUUCAGGAAAAUUUAGGGUUUUUU